AGCGGGGUACGCAACUGGCGAUAGGCGCAGCUCCUGUACGGGACUGCCGCUGACGUGGAAACCGACAAGGGCUGGCCUCUUGUGAACCACUGGGGAGCGUGCCGCACGGGUGUCAUGCCCGCCGCGUUCAGCCGUUCGCCUGGGCAGCCCUU
Molecule: non-coding RNA, 152 nt
Organism: Acidovorax sp. Leaf78
Lineage: Bacteria; Pseudomonadati; Pseudomonadota; Betaproteobacteria; Burkholderiales; Comamonadaceae
Source: Rfam